This is a long non-coding RNA of Medicago truncatula (barrel medic), 301 nucleotides long. RefSeq lists it as uncharacterized. The record is from RefSeq and is a predicted model, not a curated record. Lineage: Eukaryota; Viridiplantae; Streptophyta; Magnoliopsida; Fabales; Fabaceae. The transcript is spliced from 2 exons.
CAGUUGAUUUCAAGCUCAGAACCAAACAAGCUAUCCCAAAGCCAUAUACUGGGUUAAAGAAAAGAAGAGUUGUAAAAUCCCAUCAGGGCCCAGCUCAAAAGGGAAUCAGCAUCCACCAACUAAACCUUAAAGAAAUGAAAAUCUUCGUUCAACAUCAUCAGCAUUCAGUGGUAUCAAUAAAUGUUUCUUUCAUGUCAUAAGAGAUCAAUGGAUUCGUGUAUUCUACUCUUAGAGCACCCACAUCCAUGCCACCCAAAUGGGUGGUAUAAAUGGGACCCACAUAAUAUAUUACAUUACUUUA